GACGAACGCUGGCGGCGUGCUUAACCCAUGCAAGUCGAACGUAAAGGCCCUGCUUUUGUGGGGUGCUCGAGUGGCGAACGGGUGAGUAACACGUGAGUAACCUGCCCUUGACUUUGGGAUAACUUCAGGAAACUGGGGCUAAUACCGGAUAGGAGCUCCUGCUGCAUGGUGGGGGUUGGAAAGUUUCGGCGGUUGGGGAUGGACUCGCGGCUUAUCAGCUUGUUGGUGGGGUAGUGGCUUACCAAGGCUUUGACGGGUAGCCGGCCUGAGAGGGUGACCGGCCACAUUGGGACUGAGAUACGGCCCAGACUCCUACGGGAGGCAGCAGUGGGGAAUAUUGCACAAUGAGCGGAAGCCUGAGGCAGCAACGCCGCGUGCGGGAUGACGGCCUUCGGGUUGUAAACCGCUUUCGCCUGUGACGAAGCGUGAGUGACGGUAAUGGGUAAAGAAGAACCGGCUAACUACGUG
This 468-nucleotide ribosomal RNA is filed under the name uncultured bacterium. RNAcentral describes it as "partial 16S ribosomal RNA". It matches the Rfam family "Bacterial small subunit ribosomal RNA", at positions 28 to 507 of the family's 1533-position model. The record is from RNAcentral.